UAUCCAUGUGGCCAACUUGUAUGGUGGGUUAUUUCGGUUUGGUUGACUAUCUGUCAUCGUUGUCUUUGACCACCACCACCCCCCCCCCCCCCCCCCUCCUUUUCUUUUCUUCUUGUUGUUUUGCUUUUGCUUGCGGUUUGAUGCCGUCCAUCCCACGCUUUGCUCCGCUAGAGGUCCUCUUCGAGCGCCUCUCUGUUGUCCGAUGACGCCGCCCGUUUAUUGCUUUGCUCCGCUAGAGGUUCUCUUUGAGCUCCUCCCUACUGUUCGAUGACACCGCCCGUCCAUAGCUUCGCUUCGCUAGAGGUUCUUGGUUCGUUCUUCGAUGAAUCUAGGCACCAUUAUCACCGCAAGGCACUGAAUCGAGGAUAGUUGGUUGCCCUCCUAUUUUGACGAGGAUAAUGAUGGGACGUGAGUGGUGAAUAGCCAUGACCCCUUCAUCCCGACAAUCAGACAGUUGUGAACGUGGUCCGGUUGGAUAUGUUGUUGGGUCCGAUGACCAAAAUCCAACGUCGUCAGUUCUGCAAAGGCUGGCAUUAAUCCCGGAGGGUCCCGUUGUUCGUGUGACCAUGAGGUCGGUAUUCCAGUGGGGCUAAAAGAAAUAGGGGGACGGGCUACAAUGCUUUAAACGCUAGCUCGACUAUAAAGAGUAGGAGAAACACGGACUGGCUGAAACCGGACAACCAAAAGGCAGACUAAUCCACUCAUUUUAUUUGGGAGGAUCCCGCCAGUAUUUCUUCCUUGGAGCAGUUCGAGAGGAAACAUAGGAAAAUUCAGACAAGUUCAGGGGCUACUGACCGUGUACUACAUUGGGUUGCCAUAGAUGCUGGGAAGACCGUCAAUGGGAAGGCCUUAUGGCCCAACAUGAUAGCAACGAGAGCCCUCGGUUCUGCAGGGAGUCCGCCUUUCAGAUGUUCCUCGUCUUAGCGGCAAGCCAAGAACCCCUCAACCGAUCGAAGCUCUAGAUCGAUUGGAAAAAUGUAACCCUAGACCUGAUCCUUCUAUAUAAGGCAAGGUUGGGGGUAGCUCUAGAUCAUCUGACCCAUUGUUGUCACCUCGGUAGCAAUAAUCCACUCAUAUUGUAACCCCUUCAUACGAGGUGUUUUUUCCUCAAUCAAUCAAAGCAAAGCAAGAGUAGGGUUUUACCUCGACCA
Triticum urartu is the source of this 1151-nucleotide long non-coding RNA. RefSeq lists it as uncharacterized. The record is from RefSeq and is a predicted model, not a curated record. NCBI's taxonomy places the organism in Eukaryota, Viridiplantae, Streptophyta, Magnoliopsida, Poales, Poaceae.